AUUGAACGCUGGCGGCAUGCUUUACACAUGCAAGUCGAACGGUAACAGGCCGCAAGGUGCUGACGAGUGGCGAACGGGGGAGGAAAGCAACGGAACGUGCCCAGUCGUGGGGGGUAACUAACCGAAAGAGGAGCUAAUACCGCAUACGAUCUAAGGAUGAAAGCGGGGGACCGUAAGGCCCCGCGCGAUUGGAGCGGCCGAUGUCAGAUUAGGUAGUUGGUGGGGUAAAGGCUCACCAAGCCAACGAUCUGUAGCUGGUCUGAGAGGACGACCAGCCACACUGGGACUGAGACACGGCCCAGACUCCUACGGGAGGCAGCAGUGGGGAAUUUUGGACAAUGGGCGCAAGCCUGAUCCAGCAAUGCCGCGUGCAGGAAGAAGGCCUUCGGGUUGUAAACUGCUUUUGUACGGAACGAAACGGCUCUGGUUAAUACCCGGGGCUAAUGACGGUACCGUAAGAAUAAGCACCGGCUAACUACGUG
Molecule: ribosomal RNA, 482 nt
Filed under: uncultured bacterium
Lineage: Bacteria
Description: partial 16S ribosomal RNA
Rfam family: Bacterial small subunit ribosomal RNA
Source: RNAcentral